AGAUGGAGGGGUGCCCGAAAGGGAGCCGUAACACAGGUGCUGCAUGGCUGUCGUCAGCUCGUGUCGUGAGAUGUUGGGUUAAGUCCCGCAACGAGCGCAACCCUUGUCAUUAGUUGCUACAUUUAGUUGGGCACUCUAAUGAGACUGCCGGUGACAAACCGGAGGAAGGAGGGGAUGAUGUCAAGUCAUCAUGGCCUUUAUGCCCAGGGCUACACACGUGCUACAAUGGGGAGGACAAAGGGCUGCCACUUGGUGACAAGGAGCUAAUCCCAAAAACCUCCUCUCAGUUCAGAUUGGAGUCUGCAACUCGACUCCAUGAAGCUGGAAUCGCUAGUAAUCGUAGAUCAGCAACGCUACGGUGAAUACGUUCCCGGACCUUGCACACACCGCCCGUCAAGCCAUGGAAGCUGGGUGUACCUAAAGUCGGUAACCGCAAGGAGCCGCCUAGGGUAAAACUAGUGACUGGGGCUAAGUCGUAACAAGGUAACCGU
This 491-nucleotide ribosomal RNA is filed under the name uncultured Bacteroidota bacterium. Its description in RNAcentral is "bacterial SSU rRNA". It matches the Rfam family "Bacterial small subunit ribosomal RNA", at positions 1004 to 1503 of the family's 1533-position model. Lineage: Bacteria; Pseudomonadati; Bacteroidota. The record is from RNAcentral.